GGGGCUGUAGCUUAGUGGCAGAGCACUUGCCUAGCAUGCAUGAGGCACUAGGUUCAAUCCUCAGCACCA
This 69-nucleotide transfer RNA is filed under the name Marmota marmota marmota (Alpine marmot). It matches the Rfam family "tRNA". From Rfam's summary of the family: Transfer RNA (tRNA) molecules are approximately 80 nucleotides in length. The record is from Rfam by way of RNAcentral. Lineage: Eukaryota; Metazoa; Chordata; Mammalia; Rodentia; Sciuridae. RNAcentral also lists the same sequence under 1 other name.